This 73-nucleotide transfer RNA is filed under the name Lottia gigantea (owl limpet). RNAcentral's name for it is "tRNA-Thr for anticodon UGU". It matches the Rfam family "tRNA". From Rfam's summary of the family: Transfer RNA (tRNA) molecules are approximately 80 nucleotides in length. Their secondary structure includes four short double-helical elements and three loops (D, anti-codon, and T loops). Lineage: Eukaryota; Metazoa; Mollusca; Gastropoda; Lottiidae. The record is from Rfam by way of RNAcentral.
GCCUCCAUAGUUCAGUGGCUAGAGCACUGGUCUUGUAAACCAGGGGUCGGGAGUUCGAUCCUCCCUGGGGGCU